This 85-nucleotide transfer RNA is filed under the name Felis catus (domestic cat). It matches the Rfam family "tRNA". Rfam says of the family: Transfer RNA (tRNA) molecules are approximately 80 nucleotides in length. The record is from Rfam by way of RNAcentral. Lineage: Eukaryota; Metazoa; Chordata; Mammalia; Carnivora; Felidae.
ACCUGGGUGGCUCAGUCGGUUGAGUGUCCGACUUCAGCUCAGGUCAUGAUCUCAUGGUUUGUGGGUUCGAGCCCCGCAUCAGGUU